RNAcentral lists this ribosomal RNA (616 nucleotides) under Caulobacter segnis. RNAcentral describes it as "bacterial SSU rRNA". It matches the Rfam family "Bacterial small subunit ribosomal RNA", at positions 128 to 778 of the family's 1533-position model. The record is from RNAcentral. Lineage: Bacteria; Pseudomonadati; Pseudomonadota; Alphaproteobacteria; Caulobacterales; Caulobacteraceae.
GCCCUUUGGUUCGGAACAACUCAGGGAAACUUGAGCUAAUACCGGAUGUGCCCUUCGGGGGAAAGAUUUAUCGCCAUUGGAGCGGCCCGCGUCUGAUUAGCUAGUUGGUGAGGUAAAGGCUCACCAAGGCGACGAUCAGUAGCUGGUCUGAGAGGAUGAUCAGCCACAUUGGGACUGAGACACGGCCCAAACUCCUACGGGAGGCAGCAGUGGGGAAUCUUGCGCAAUGGGCGAAAGCCUGACGCAGCCAUGCCGCGUGAAUGAUGAAGGUCUUAGGAUUGUAAAAUUCUUUCACCGGGGACGAUAAUGACGGUACCCGGAGAAGAAGCCCCGGCUAACUUCGUGCCAGCAGCCGCGGUAAUACGAAGGGGGCUAGCGUUGCUCGGAAUUACUGGGCGUAAAGGGAGCGUAGGCGGACUGUUUAGUCAGAGGUGAAAGCCCAGGGCUCAACCUUGGAAUUGCCUUUGAUACUGGCAGUCUUGAGUACGGAAGAGGUAUGUGGAACUCCGAGUGUAGAGGUGAAAUUCGUAGAUAUUCGGAAGAACACCAGUGGCGAAGGCGACAUACUGGUCCGUUACUGACGCUGAGGCUCGAAAGCGUGGGGAGCAAACAGGAU